AGGGAAUAUUGGACAAUGGGCGCAAGCCUGAUCCAGCCAUCCCGCGUGAAGGAUUAAGGCCCUCUGGGUUGUAAACUUCUUUUCUCUGGGAAUAAAAACCGGUAUUCAUAUCGGCUUGAAGGUACCAGAGGAAUAAGCACCGGCUAACUCCGUGCCAGCAGCCGCGGUAAUACGGAGGGUGCAAGCGUUAUCCGGAUUCACUGGGUUUAAAGGGAGCGUAGGUGGCUUUGUAAGUCAGUGGUGAAAUAUUGCGGCUCAACCGCAAAACUGCCAUUGAUACUGCUUAGCUUGAAUCAAGUCGAGGUGGAUGGAAUAAUACAUGUAGCGGUGAAAUGCUUAGAUAUGUAUUAGAACACCGAUUGCGAAGGCAGUUCACUAGGCUUGUAUUGACACUGAGGCUCGAAAGCGUGGGGAUCAAAC
RNAcentral lists this ribosomal RNA (420 nucleotides) under uncultured bacterium. RNAcentral describes it as "bacterial SSU rRNA". It matches the Rfam family "Bacterial small subunit ribosomal RNA", at positions 356 to 773 of the family's 1533-position model. The record is from RNAcentral.